CUCUUAAAGCUUGUCUCAGUUCGGAUAGGAGUCUGCAACUCGACUCCUUGAAGUUGGAGUCGCUAGUAAUCGCAAAUCAGCAAAGUUGCGGUGAAUACGUUCUCGGGGUUUGUACACACCGCCCGUCAAGUCACGGAAGUCGGCAAUACGCGAAGCCAGUGGUCUAACCCUUUGGGGAAGAAGCUGUCGAACGUAGGGUUGGUAACUGGGACUAAGUCGUAACAAGGUAGCCGUACGGGAACGUGCGGCUGGAUCACCUCCUUU
RNAcentral lists this ribosomal RNA (264 nucleotides) under Acidimicrobiia bacterium. Its description in RNAcentral is "partial 16S ribosomal RNA". It matches the Rfam family "Bacterial small subunit ribosomal RNA", at positions 1273 to 1533 of the family's 1533-position model. The record is from RNAcentral. Lineage: Bacteria; Bacillati; Actinomycetota; Acidimicrobiia.